This 459-nucleotide ribosomal RNA is filed under the name uncultured bacterium. Its description in RNAcentral is "partial 16S ribosomal RNA". It matches the Rfam family "Bacterial small subunit ribosomal RNA", at positions 338 to 795 of the family's 1533-position model. The record is from RNAcentral.
CCUACGGGUGGCAGCAGUGAGGAAUAUUGGUCAAUGGGCGCGAGCCUGAACCAUCCAAGUCGCGUGAGGGAAGACGGUCCUAUGGAUUGUAAACCUCUUUUAUCGGGGAGCAAAAGACGCCACGCGUGGCGUUCCGAAAGUACCCGAAUAAAAAGCAUCGGCAAACUCCGUGCCAGCAGCCGCGGUAAUACGGGGGAUUCGAGCGUUAUCCGGUUUUAUUGGGUUUAAAGGGUGCGCAGGCGGAAGAUAAAGUCAGCGUGAAAAUUUAGAGGCUAAACCUCUUCGAGCAGUUGAUACUGUUGUUCUUGAGUGAGCGAGAAGUAUGCGGAAUGCGUGGUGUAGCGGUGAAAUGCAUAGAGAUCACGAAGAACUCCGAUUGCGAAGGCAGCAUACUGGCGAUCAACUGACGCUCAUGCACGAAAGUGUGGGUAUCGAACAGGAUUAGAUACCCUAGUAGUC